CCUACGGGGGGCAGCAGUGGGGAAUAUUGGACAAUGGGGGGAACCCUGAUCCAGCCAUGCCGCGUGUGUGAAGAAGGCCCUCGGGUUGUAAAGCACUUUCAGUGAGGAAGAACGCCUGGUGGUUAAUACCCAUCAGGAAAGACAUCACUCACAGAAGAAGCACCGGCUAACUCCGUGCCAGCAGCCGCGGUAAUACGGAAGGUGCGAGCGUUAAUCGGAAUUACUGGGCGUAAAGCGCGCGUAGGUGGCUUGAUAAGCCGGUUGUGAAAGCCCCGGGCUCAACCUGGGAACGGCAUCCGGAACUGUCAAGCUAGAGUGCAGGAGAGGAAGGUAGAAUUCCCGGUGUAGCGGUGAAAUGCGUAGAGAUCGGGAGGAAUACCAGUGGCGAAGGCGGCCUUCUGGACUGACACUGACACUGAGGUGCGAAAGCGUGGGUAGCAAACAGGAUUAGAUACCCUUGUAGUC
This 465-nucleotide ribosomal RNA is filed under the name Vreelandella stevensii. RNAcentral describes it as "partial 16S ribosomal RNA". It matches the Rfam family "Bacterial small subunit ribosomal RNA", at positions 338 to 795 of the family's 1533-position model. Lineage: Bacteria; Pseudomonadati; Pseudomonadota; Gammaproteobacteria; Oceanospirillales; Halomonadaceae. The record is from RNAcentral.